GGCACAGAUGGUCUUUGCCGAGUGCCAAGGGUAUGGCAGUCGGCAAAGAAUUUUUUUUUGUUUUUUGUCUCCAAAUUUUUUUCUACUAACUUUACACUUUAUUUUGAAGCCUAAGUUAAAAUUUGACACAAUUCUCGAUAUAUUUCAUAUAUAUAUUUAAUUUAUUUCAUUUAAACGUAUUUCUUCCAAAAAUACAAUAGUGAACUACAGGUGCAUCCAAUCAUAGAAUUAGUUAGUUGGAAAAAUGAUAUUCACAAUACUUACAGGUAGCAGACAUGUUAGAUGACUUUCAUGAAGCUCAGUACGCCGAAGGACGUACUGAGGUAGAGAUGGAGGCAACUACAAAGGCGUUGAUUAUUUCGAUAGUGUUGAUUAUUUCGACAUGGUUGAUAGUGAUGAUGAGACUUAUGAUCCAACAAAUCCUGAUCAUGAAGAUUAUUUCUAGUACAUGUAAUACAAUGUUCUUUUCUAAUUAUGUUUUAUUUAUCUUGCAUUUUUUAAUUACUUCUUGCUUAUCAUUUUUAAUUUCUAAUUACCCCUUGUUUUUUCUUUCCAAUUGCAGGUGGUUGAACAAAGAUGGUGGGUAACCGUCAGAUGAACGUGUUCUCGCUUUACCAGAGGACAUGUCCUACACCAGGUCGAUGCGACCUCUACUCCCUCUCUCUCCCAGAUCCGAGCACGGAGCACGGACACAAGCAUUCCCAUACGCCCACGGCCAGAGACUCCACAGCAGCGGAUUGUGUCACUUCAGGUGAUUUAUAUUUUAUUAGUUGUUCCUUGAUAUUUACAUAUCUUCGCUUUGCAUUAUUCAAAUAUUAUGGUAAUGUUGUAGGUCCAGGUCCAGGCUUUAGAGGCCCAGCGGGAGGCCGAUCGACAAAGGAU
This 882-nucleotide long non-coding RNA is filed under the name Sorghum bicolor (sorghum). Its description in RNAcentral is "long non-coding RNA (SBIC_LNC011779)". The record is from RNAcentral. Lineage: Eukaryota; Viridiplantae; Streptophyta; Magnoliopsida; Poales; Poaceae.